CGCCCAAUUCCCGUUUCUAGCAAAUUUUCAAAAAAUCCCCAAAAUUUCUUCCCAAAAUCCCCAAAUUUUUCACCCCAAAAUUCCCAAAUUUCUCAUCAAAACUCCCCAAAUUUCCCACAAAAAUCCCAAAUUGUUCACCCAAAAUUCCAUUUUUUCCCCAAAAUCCCAAUUUUACCCCAAAACCUUCAAAAAUUUCCCCCCAAAAUUUCCCAAAUUUCUCCCCAAAAAUCCCCAAUUUUUAACAUCAAAAUCGUCAAAUUUCCCCCCAGAAAUCCCAAUAUUUUCACCCCUAAAUCUGAAAAUUCCAACCCCAAAAUUCCUAAAAUUUCCUCCCAAAAAUUCCCAAAAAUCCCAAACAUUUCUCCCCCCAAAUUCCCCAAUUUUCACCCCAAAAUUCCCCAAUUUCUCCCCCAAAUUCUUCAAAUUUCCCCCAGAAAUUCCAAUUUUUUCACCCCAAAAUUCCCAAAUUUUCCCCCAAAAUUCUCCAAAAAAAUCCCCAAAUUUCCCUCAAAAAUCCCAUUUUUUUUCCCCCAAAAUUCCCAUUUUUAUCCCCAAAUCCCAUUUUUUCUCCCCAAACUCCCAAUUAUCCCCCUAAAAUUCCCAUUUCCCCCAAAAAUUCCCAUUUUCCCCCAAAAUUCCCAAAUUUUCCCAAAAAUUCCCAUUUUCCCCCAAAAUUCCACAUCAAAUUUUCCAAAAAUUCAAAAAAUUUUCCCCCAAAAUUACCAUUUUUCCCCCAAAUUCCCAUAUUUUCCCCAAAAAAUCCCAUUUUUCUCCCAAAAUUCAAAAAUUUUCCCCAAAAUUUCCCACCAAAUUCCCAAUUUUCCCCCAAAAUUCCCAAAUUUUACCCCAAAAAUUUCGAUUCC
Molecule: long non-coding RNA, 863 nt
Filed under: Taeniopygia guttata (zebra finch)
Lineage: Eukaryota; Metazoa; Chordata; Aves; Passeriformes; Estrildidae
Description: lncRNA (ENSTGUG00000027369.1)
Source: RNAcentral